AGACCCGAAACCCGGUGAUCUAGCCAUGGGCAGGUUGAAGGUUGGGUAACACUAACUGGAGGACCGAACCGACUAAUGUUGAAAAAUUAGCGGAUGACCUGUGGCUGGGGGUGAAAGGCCAAUCAAACCGGGAGAUAGCUGGUUCUCCCCGAAAGCUAUUUAGGUAGCGCCUCGUGAAUUCAUCUCCGGGGGUAGAGCACUGUUUCGGCUAGGGGGCCAUCCCGGCUUACCAACCCGAUGCAAACUGCGAAUACCGGAGAAUGUUAUCACGGGAGACACACGGCGGGUGCUAACGUCCGUCGUGAAGAGGGAAACAACCCAGACCGCCAGCUAAGGUCCCAAAGUCAUGGUUAAGUGGGAAACGAUGUGGGAAGGCCCAGACAGCCAGGAUGUUGGCUUAGAAGCAGCCAUCAUUUAAAGAAAGCGUAAUAGCUCACUGGUCGAGUCGGCCUGCGCGGAAGAUGUAACGGGGCUAAACCAUGCACCGAAGCUGCGGCAGCGACACUGUGUGUUGUUGGGUAGGGGAGCGUUCUGUAAGCCUGUGAAGGUGUGUCGUGAGGCAUGCUGGAGGUAUCAGAAGUGCGAAUGCUGACAUA
Molecule: ribosomal RNA, 596 nt
Filed under: Salmonella enterica
Lineage: Bacteria; Pseudomonadati; Pseudomonadota; Gammaproteobacteria; Enterobacterales; Enterobacteriaceae
Also listed under: 2 other names
Description: bacterial LSU rRNA
Rfam family: Bacterial large subunit ribosomal RNA
Source: RNAcentral